This 429-nucleotide ribosomal RNA is filed under the name uncultured eukaryote. Its description in RNAcentral is "bacterial SSU rRNA". It matches the Rfam family "Eukaryotic small subunit ribosomal RNA", at positions 592 to 1017 of the family's 1831-position model. The record is from RNAcentral.
CAAUAGCGUAUAUUAAAGUUGUUGCAGUUAAAAAGCUCGUAGUCGGAUGUCGGGCUCGGGCAGGCUGUCGGCUUCGGUCGGACGGCAGGCUCGGGUCUUUCUGCCUGAGGAUCCCGUUGCACUUAAUUGUGGGGCGUGGGGACGCAGGCCGUUUACUUUGAAAAAUUAGAGUGUUCAAAGCAGGCCUACGCUUGAAUACAUUAGCAUGGAAUAAUGGAAUAGGACUUUGGUGCUAUUUGUUUGGUUUAUUGGGACCGGAAGUAAUAGAUUAACAGGGACGAGUUGGGGCCGGUUUAUAUUUCGUUGUUCAGAGGUGGAAAUUACUUGGAUUUACGUAAAGAUAAACUUACUUGCGAAAGACAUUCGGCAAGGAUGUUUUCUAUUGAUCAAGAACGAAAGUUAAGGGGAGUCGAAGACGAUUAGAUACCA